CCUGCCACUUCUUGGAAAGUUGAGCUAGCUUCCUGGAGCUGAUCAUGGUUGCUUGUUUUGUUUCAAGGAGAUGGGCUGUGACUCUGAGAUGGAAUAAUCAGAGAAAAAAGUCGGUCUGUGUGUGUGUGUUGAUGGUUUGUUCCAUGAUCAUAUAUUUAUAGUGGGCAGGUCUGGUGGGAAAUCUGCAUCUUCGUUUCCACAACUAUCACAGAUAGCAAAUCGUCAGGGGACAAGACCAUGAACUCCCUUGGUGGGAUGUUCCUAUUUGUACGUGGUUGCAACUUUGAAGGACUGAAUGCAUAGGACCACUGCCUCUCACACUGUCAGGAACCUGACCUUGGGCAACGCCAGUGACUUUAGUCCCACCUCGGAUAUGGGAGGAGGCUAGGAGCUCCUUAUAAGGGAGAGUGCCACACUCCCUUCAGGCCGUCUUUUGGGAUGUUGUGGGCUUUCUGCUUAUAGUGGAGUGUCCGAUGCGCACCGGAAACGUGGGUGUCAGGAACCUGACCUUGGGCAACGCCAGUGACUUUAGUCCCACCUCGGAUAUGGGAGGAGGCUAGGAGCUCCUUAUAAGGGAGAGUGCGACACUCCCUUCAGGCCGGUCUUUUGGGAUGUUGUGGGCUUUCUGCUUAUAGUGGAGUGUCCGAUGCGCACCGAAAACGUCCGAGCAUAUGCCGAUGGACCGGGAGCUGGGCCUGGGUUGCUAACACACACAUGGUGGAGCCAUCUUUGAUAGCUUGGUACGUGACUGAGAACCACAGUGGGUUGAGCUGUAAAGAUAGCUGUACGAGACACUAUCUUGUUUACUGAGAAUUGUGCUUGAAGCAACAUAUCUUGGAUAAUAAAAAUAUUUACCAACUUGCUGCCCCUUCCGUGCGUUAUUAUGCAGCUUUUGUUUGUCCGUUAAUUUUGUAUUCCACCUGGCUCAAGGAGAAUCCAAAACUGAGGUGCUAUGUGAUUGGCUCAAGAUGAUUCAGCUAUCAUCACAUUUUCUAGAACGGUGCAGUGUGUAAUAUAGAAUUGUGCCAACAGUUCCGUGUGAUUUUGUUUUGACACCAGUUAGCAAAGCAGCAAGGCCAUCAUAAAUGUGGUCAUGCGAUGUUGGCUAUAACAGAGGCAAUGAUUUGAACUGGAUAUCGGUGGGUCGACAUGCAGUUAGUGCAUCGGGGUCCUUGUGGAGGCCAAAGUGGUUAGAUGAUUUGCGACGUACGUAGUACGAUAGGCAGUGGUGCCAUGUUGGGCAGAAGCAUUAUUCAGACAAUUACUCAAGUUUGAGCUUUCGUCAACACGGAGGGGACAUUUAGGACAGCGUCAGCUGGAGAGCCACCAUCAAGUGGGUUCCUUGGGAUGUUUCGUGCGACCUUCCGAAGCUUACAACAUGUCCAUGGCCGUGGUACUGAGUACUGAUCCGUGCGGUAGCUGAAAGACAUGAGGGCGGGGGAGCAUUGUAGGGCCUAGAGAGUUAAGAAGCAGCUUCCUUUGUUACGCAUUAAUUUGGUUAGGAAGGUCUUGGUUGGUUCAAGCAGCUUGGUGGACAAUUCAAUACGGCUGUUGUACCUUGUGGCCCGGCCAAAUUGAUUUCCAGCACCAAUUCUGUUAGGAAGGUCUUGGUUGUGACGCGGUGCCCUCAUUUCCUUGCUUCUUCCUGCCAUCCCUAACAGGCCUACAGAAAUAGUGCAGCUAACCUGGUUAUCAUCUCAACCAAAUUCGUGGACAACUGGAGAUCAUUUGGUACUAGCGCCAAUUCUUUUGUCAAUCGUUUGAUCUCAUUUUGUGCUGAAACAGGCUUCUUGAUGGCAUCUAGUGACGCACUUAGCGAAUUCGUGAGUUGGCAUAUAUAGUUUGUACUUUCUUACGCUUUAUUUUGCAUCGGAAUUCGAGAUUAAAUCAUAUGCGAAGACUGGACGUCCAGAUGCAGCAGUCAGAAUGAUGAAAAAAGCUUGUUAUGGCUCUUGUUUCGUAAUGUACUUCCAUUUCUGCUCUUUGCUUUUGUGUCUAAACUUUUGGCUUGAAGGCCAAGAUUCUGUUGAACCUGCUGUGGCUGGUUUCAUUCCAACAAUAUGAGACCCAGCAGGCUACUCCCUGAUGAUCUAAAAAUAUAUAGAUAUUAAAGAUAAAUUUCCCGUCUUUAUAAUUUUUCCUUUUGAGAAACUCACAGUGGUUUUCAUUCAUUUCCGAGCAGGUUACGGUCAUGUAAAGCAGAAUUACGCUGAAGCAGCUGUGUGGUGACGGAGGAUUUCCCAUGGCUGCAGGCUAUUACCUAUUAGACAGCAUGUCUGUUCGGUGUAAGCUGGGGAGGGGUCUGAUUCUGGGAGAAUCUUGCAAAAGAACUGGCCCAUGAUCCUUUUACACAUUGAUAUGCUGACGUGAUAGUAAUCACAUGAGCCAUGAACUAAGAUGAUUGACAGCUCUGGAGCACACAUCUGAUCAGCAGAGCAUACAGGUGCAACCUUGCAAGCACACUCUUGACCAAAUACUGCUCCUGGAUGCAAAGGUAUUUUCGUUACCCAUUAAUACCUAGCUAGCCAGGCCGACUCGACCGACGUCGGCGCUCACCGGCGGAAUCAAUCAUUGGUGAUCUCCGGUGGAUUUAAUCCACAAGAUACAUCAGCGUGCAGCUCAUCUUAUGGCCAUCGAAGCACAUCCUACUGAGAGCACUCAACCGGCUGAUGGAUCAGAGAGCACGGCACAACCGGACUUGAGGUUGAUUGAAAUCUAAGAUCUGAAAUAAGAAUAUACGGUCCCUUUGAGGAGAUGGGUCUCAUCGUUCGCUGACAUUAAUUCUGUGAACGGAAGAAUAUUUGUGUGGUCUAUGUUUGUCACUGGAGGCAUGCGGCUUAGGGCGUCUAGAACGGAAGAAUCAAUUCAGUGGCUUCUGGUGGUCAGUUGAGGGUGGCAACAUCAUGCGUGGUGUGCUUGUCGAUCUCCAACGUAUUCUCACGGUCAUAUGGCCAGCGGCACCCAGCUAGCCGUAAACUGAUUACUGGCAUACUUCUUAAUUACUUCUGCUAGUGGAUAAAUGAUCAAAUGUACCCAGCUGUUGUUUCGUCUUGGGAAAUUGGUAUACCUAGCAAAAGGAACAGUAGCUCCGGUUGCUAAUUUACUGUGUAGAAACUACUAAUUUUAUUAAAGCUAGAGGAUCCUACCUGUUUAGUUGUCGAAGAGUACACUACCUUGCUUCCUUUAUGUUAGUAUCAGUUUACUGAACUUGCUGCUUUAAUUUUCUAUUUGUAAAAGGGCAUAUGCACUUCCCUCUUCAACGAGUGCUUCAUUUUGCUUUGCAGAAGCCUUAUGUG
Long non-coding RNA from Triticum dicoccoides, 3296 nucleotides. RefSeq lists it as uncharacterized. The record is from RefSeq and is a predicted model, not a curated record. The transcript has 5 exons. NCBI's taxonomy places the organism in Eukaryota, Viridiplantae, Streptophyta, Magnoliopsida, Poales, Poaceae.